Molecule: long non-coding RNA, 731 nt
Organism: Brassica napus (rape)
Lineage: Eukaryota; Viridiplantae; Streptophyta; Magnoliopsida; Brassicales; Brassicaceae
Exons: 3
Source: RefSeq, a predicted model, not a curated record
CGCUUAAUUAAGGGCUACAAGAGGCAUCCCUUAGCGGACACGCGUCAUAACUGCGACGUCUCUGUCUCAUCUCUCAUCUCUCUUUUUCUCCCGGACGAAAUCAGUCGGUUUGAUUCCGAAACUUCUUUCGUGAUCUCUCGGAGAGGCUCUUAUCGAAAAACCUCUUCUUCGUCUUCCUUCGUCUCCUCUUCUCGGAGCCGUCGCUGGAAAAUUACCAGUCAUGAUGAAAAUACGAACUCCCAAGACCCACAAAGCCAAGCGCGUACUCGAACAGCGAGUUCCUAAGCUGGUAGAAAAUGGGAAGAAGACAUUGAUACUUGACGAGCGCGACGCUAAGUGAUGUGUUGAUGGAGCUGUGACGUUUGAAGAAGGGAGGUGCCAUCAAGUACUCGAGGAGGAAUGAGAAUAUUAGACCCUUUGAGAGUGGUGGUGAAACCUCUUUGGAGUUCUUCUCUCUCAAAACUGAUUGUAGCAUUUUUGCGGUUAUUUUUGUUCCACCGGCGCCGCUACAUCCGCAUAUUUACAGCAAUGGACAUAUUUGUUUAGGUAUCUCUUUGUCAAUCUCCUUUUGUUUCUUCACUCUCUGCAUUAUGUUCUUUGUUUUGUUUUUGGUUUCCUUGUGUUGGAUGCUUCUUUCUGCUGUAUGAUUUUUCCCAUUAACAUUAAUCAAAAUAAUGUUCUUGCAAAACCAGGAAACGAAUUUCAUGCAUACAUAGAGAUAGUUUACGCUU